Non-coding RNA from Negativicoccus succinicivorans DORA_17_25, 185 nucleotides. The record is from Rfam. NCBI's taxonomy places the organism in Bacteria, Bacillati, Bacillota, Negativicutes, Veillonellales, Veillonellaceae.
CCGUUUUUUGUAUAAUGAAAUAACCGGCGACUGUGCAGAGGUCGUUUAUGGCAACCUUUCGGGGCUUGUGCAAUGGAAGUUCGUGAACCCUGUCAGGUCCGAGAGGAAGCAGCAGUAAGCGAAUCCUUUCAUGUGCCACGAGGUAACUCGGGAGGUUGUCAUAAACGGUUUCUGCCGGUAACCGG